GAUGUACAGGAAGUGCAAAAUGCCACCACAUCAGGUGUACGAGCUGUUGGUGGCGGCUUAGACACUUACAGUGCCCGGGUGCUAAUUGGAUAAUGUCCUGCAGGGCACAAAUAGAGGACACAAACAUCGCCCUGGAGAAGAUCAUAAGGAACAACAGAAAGGUGGACCAAAGCCUCAAGAAUAUUAUUGAUGUUCUGGGGAGGGUU
This is a long non-coding RNA of Rana temporaria (common frog), 206 nucleotides long. RefSeq lists it as uncharacterized. Lineage: Eukaryota; Metazoa; Chordata; Amphibia; Anura; Ranidae. The record is from RefSeq and is a predicted model, not a curated record. The transcript has 2 exons.